Molecule: ribosomal RNA, 149 nt
Filed under: Olea europaea subsp. europaea
Lineage: Eukaryota; Viridiplantae; Streptophyta; Magnoliopsida; Lamiales; Oleaceae
Description: SSU_rRNA_bacteria
Source: RNAcentral
UUUGAUUUGAUGCAAAGCAAAAAACCUUACCAUGCUUGACAUUCUGCAAAUCCUCUUGAAAGAGAAGGGUGCCUUUGGGAACUCGAACACAGGUGGUGCAUGGCUUGUUAGGGGUGAAAUGGCACUCGAACCCCAGGUGGGUAGGUAGA